This 73-nucleotide transfer RNA is filed under the name Pedobacter glucosidilyticus. Its description in RNAcentral is "tRNA-Arg". It matches the Rfam family "tRNA". Rfam says of the family: Transfer RNA (tRNA) molecules are approximately 80 nucleotides in length. The record is from RNAcentral. Lineage: Bacteria; Pseudomonadati; Bacteroidota; Sphingobacteriia; Sphingobacteriales; Sphingobacteriaceae.
GGUCCCGUAGUUCAACGGAUAGAAUAGAAGUUUCCUAAACUUUAGAUGUGGGUUCGAUUCCCGCCGGGACCAC